GCCGGCUUAGCUCAAUUGGUAGAGCAACUGACUUGUAAUCAGUAGGUUGUGAGUUCGAGUCUCACAGCCGGCUCCA
Molecule: transfer RNA, 76 nt
Filed under: Caloramator fervidus
Lineage: Bacteria; Bacillati; Bacillota; Clostridia; Eubacteriales; Clostridiaceae
Description: tRNA_Thr_TGT
Rfam family: tRNA
About the family: Transfer RNA (tRNA) molecules are approximately 80 nucleotides in length. Their secondary structure includes four short double-helical elements and three loops (D, anti-codon, and T loops).
Source: RNAcentral